RNAcentral lists this ribosomal RNA (510 nucleotides) under uncultured bacterium. RNAcentral describes it as "partial 16S ribosomal RNA". It matches the Rfam family "Bacterial small subunit ribosomal RNA", at positions 28 to 507 of the family's 1533-position model. The record is from RNAcentral.
GACGAACGCUGGCGGCGUGCUUAACACAUGCAAGUCGAACGAAGAGCGACGGAAGCUUGCUUCUAUCAAUCUUAGUGGCGAACGGGUGAGUAACGCGUAAUCAACCUGCCCUUCAGAGGGGGACAACAGUUGGAAACGACUGCUAAUACCGCAUACGAACUAACCUCGGCAUCGAGGAUAGAUGAAAGGUGGCCUCUACAUGUAAGCUAUCACUGAAGGAGGGGAUUGCGUCUGAUUAGCUAGUUGGAGGGGUAACGGCCCACCAAGGCGAUGAUCAGUAGCCGGUCUGAGAGGAUGAACGGCCACAUUGGGGCUGAGACACGGCCCAGACUCCUACGGGAGGCAGCAGUGGGGAAUCUUCCGCAAUGGACGAAAGUCUGACGGAGCAACGCCGCGUGAGUGAUGACGGCCUUCGGGUUGUAAAGCUCUGUUAAUCGGGACGAAAGGCCUUCUUGCGAAUAGUGAGAAGGAUUGACGGUACCGGAAUAGAAAGCCACGGCUAACUACGUG